GAGAACACAAUAUAAGCCAUUAAUAAUUAUUUAAUUAACUUCAAUAAUUACCAAAAAAAAGGGCCCAAAAUAACGGCUGACCCAGGUGCCCAGUUGACUGGGCGCCCAGUCGAUUGGGCGCCCAGUCGAUUGGGCACCCAGUUGCCCAGCCCAGUCGACCCAACUGGGCCGUCUGGGCGUCCGGGCCGGCUGGGCGUGCCCAACCAGCAGCCUUCCAUUUCCGACCAUGGAGAUCACCGAAAAACUCUAUUUCCGGCGAUCUACAUUCCUUCCCAAGCAAUAACAACCCAAAUUCCACAUUUACACAAGAAUUUCUCAACAAAUAUAUAUAAAAUCUUACUUUUUUCCAAAAAUAAAAAUAUAAACAUGGUUUUUUUUUGUAUAAAAAUCUUACCUUCUUCAGAGAGAAAUGGCCAACUGAGUCUCCUGUUUUUCCUUAUUUGUCGGUGACUGAGUUGGCUGUGCUACAUUACUUUUCCUUCUUUGCUUCUGCUUCUUUUUCCUUGCAAGUCCUGAGGGUAAAAUUGGGUUUCUCUUUAUUUUUGUUGGUUUUCUAUGUUUUAAAUAAUUUUGCCUUUUUUUUUAACUGGUGAAAGGCCUCUUUGGAAAACUGGCCGGGUCAACUGGCUGUUGGCCACUAAUUCCUCCCUAAAAAAUGUCGAAGUCCAGGUCCACAUGCGUCGACCCGACAAGCCCCUGAUGGGCCGUUUCAUAGAAUUUUGUUGGGUAUGGAUCUAGAGAUGACAAACGAAUCAAAUUGUUAAUCGAUUAAUAGGUUCGGCUUGAUCCGACUCAACACUUGGAAGUCUAGGUUCAUUUUAAGACAAGCCAUGGGUCAAGCCAAGAUCAUUUUGUUGGGUAUGGAUCUAGGGAUAACAAACGAGUCAAGUUGUUUAUCAAUUAACGGAUUCAGCUUCAUCCGACUCAAGCCUUGGAGGUUUGGUUCAUUUUAAGACGAGCCAUGGGUCAAACCAAAGCUCAUUUUCUUUUCACAAGCUAGAUCAUUUUUCUCCUAAUU
This 1018-nucleotide long non-coding RNA is filed under the name Olea europaea subsp. europaea. Lineage: Eukaryota; Viridiplantae; Streptophyta; Magnoliopsida; Lamiales; Oleaceae. The record is from RNAcentral.